Molecule: long non-coding RNA, 402 nt
Organism: Papaver somniferum (opium poppy)
Lineage: Eukaryota; Viridiplantae; Streptophyta; Magnoliopsida; Ranunculales; Papaveraceae
Exons: 3
Source: RefSeq, a predicted model, not a curated record
CCUACACAAGAAAAUCCAUCAGUAUUUUUAUUUCUUUCUCUUAUCUUCUUUUCUGGUUUUCUUCUUUUCUUACUUCUUGUCUUCUCCGUCGAAGAAGUUUCUGAGAGGAUCAAAAGGAGUAAACUUUAAGGAUUAAAUGAGUAAACUCUCAGGUGAAAUUUCCAAACUUUUUCUUUGUAUUCACUACUGAUUAAAAAAAAUUAAAAUUUUUUUUCUUCAGUUUCAAUUUCUUAGGGUUUACUGGAAAAUUUUAUUUUCUUUGAUUUCUGAGGGUUUGUGUUAUGGAUUCGUGGUCUAGAAAUGAAAUCUGGAUAUGGGUUUCUUCUUGUUUAUUAUGAAUUACUGCCAUUGUUCUUCUUCUUAUUUUAAGCUACUGUGACGAAUAUAAUUUUAUUCUGUUUA